RNAcentral lists this long non-coding RNA (822 nucleotides) under Homo sapiens (human). RNAcentral describes it as "non-protein coding lnc-PRPF18-1:24". The record is from RNAcentral. Lineage: Eukaryota; Metazoa; Chordata; Mammalia; Primates; Hominidae.
GGUGGCGCUGGAUAGCGGUAAGAGCGGGGGCUCCAAAGGCAGAACUUCCAGCUUCACAUCUCAGCUCUGCACCUGCUCGCUGUAUGACUUUAGCAAGCAACUGGAUCUUUCUAAGCGUCAGCUUCGUUGUCUUAAAUGUUAGUUAAUGUUCCAUAUAAAGAAACUGUCAUGUGACACCAGUACCUCCUAAAAUUGGUCAGUGUGGUAGAUGGUUUAGAGAAAAAAGGAACCUGUUCCACAGGGCUGUGACCAUUCGAGGGAAGCACAUUCAAAGAUGUAGAUCCCCUCAGAGAAGUUUUCCAUUUCCCUGAAGUUAAAGAUCUUCAAAUGACUGCAAAUAACAUGAGGAUAUAUAGAAAAAUGCCCUUCCCCAAUUUCCAAAUCGUGAAAAUUUGGCUCAGCAGAGCCCUAAUUUGUUUAGAACUGUAAUAUGCACAGUUAAAACAACUUGUCCUCUCAGGACCUUUUGCAGUUAGGGUUGGUCGUAUGACAUGGUCCUGCGAAGAAGAUACGGAUAGAAGUCUGUGGGCCACCAGUGGAUUGAAUGAUGCCCGUAUGCACUGAGAAGGGCCAUGUGUUUACUCGGUCUACCAAUUCAAAUGUUAAUCUCAUCCAAAAACACCCUCACAGAUACCUUUGGAAUGAUGUUUAACCAAAUAUUUGGGUACCGUCUUCCCCAGUGAAGUUGACACAAAAUUAACCAUCACAGCUGCCUUCCUGUGGGCCUCAUGUUAUAUGAGAACAGUAUUGGGUGUACACUUAAAGCGUUCUGGGAAUAUGAAUCCCUUCUGCACCCUGGAAUCACCAGUCCAGCCAUGCAUG